This is a long non-coding RNA of Bombyx mori (domestic silkworm), 985 nucleotides long. RefSeq lists it as uncharacterized. The record is from RefSeq and is a predicted model, not a curated record. The transcript has 3 exons. NCBI's taxonomy places the organism in Eukaryota, Metazoa, Arthropoda, Insecta, Lepidoptera, Bombycidae.
UUCAAUAACCUAUCUAUCCCUAGUUUCGGUUACUAAAGAUAGACAAAUCUAUAUUUUUGUCCUUACUUACGUUCCAAUAACCUAUCGACGGGCAGCAGUUCCUAUCGGAUUUAUCUAUCCAUCGUCAGGAGGACGGAUAGCCUGCUAAAGAUAGAACGCUCAUACAAAUCGUGCUUACUUCCGUUUCAAUAUGAGUUUUAAGUAACUCUCCGGUAGGCGGCGCUAUCUCUAGUAUGGGCAUUCGCUUAUCUGUCAAAAUCGGCCGGUUACAUGUUUAUCUUUCGAAAGUAAAUCGCUAUAAUUUAAUAAUUGUUUCUCUUCAUAUUGGCAUAUUGUAGCAGUGAUGAUAGUGAUAUGGAAUUAUUUCAAAUGAUAAUGGAUUGUGAUGCAGAUAGUGAUAGUGAGGCCGAUAUCAUAUGGUUAGGAAAACAAAGAUCGUCUGAAUUACAUGGCGAAGAUCAAUAAUUACGAAUUUGACUAUAGAUUUCUGAGCAAAGGUGUUGUGAAUGAAUUGAUUAAUUUAAUGAGACCAUAUUUGAGUGUAACGUCAAAAAGAUUCAAAUAUAGGAGAGGAAUUUAGAAAUAGAAAAAGAGUAUUUUGAAUGUGUAAUUUGUGUGCAAUGCAUCAUUGAUGUUUCAAAAUGUUGUUGCUUGAUGGCCUGGGUCUACUCAUGAUACAACUAUAAUUAACCAUUCCGAUUGAAAAGAUGCAUUGGUGUUUGUAAAAGAAGACUCCCUGUAUAUCAUUGAAAAGUAGAUUAAAACUAGAAAAUAUGCAAGCUGUUAUUAUAGCUGCCAUGCUGCAUAAUAUCGUCAGAAGUAUGAAUUUAGAAGAAUUAGAAUCAGAAAUUUCAGUCGCAGAUACAUUACAGGAAAAUAAUAUAAUUGUUCGUAACAAUUUUUCAAAACUUACAUCUGAAAUACAACUAUGUACUUAUAAAUAAUUGCUUCCAAAGAUAAUUUAUAAAAUAAACUCCAAAGAUAA